This 284-nucleotide unclassified non-coding RNA is filed under the name Dicranidion sp. RNAcentral's name for it is "partial contains 5.8S ribosomal RNA, internal transcribed spacer 2, and large subunit ribosomal RNA". The stretch from base 1 to 52 matches the Rfam family "5.8S ribosomal RNA", at positions 103 to 154 of the family's 154-position model. Lineage: Eukaryota; Fungi; Ascomycota; Orbiliomycetes; Orbiliales; Orbiliaceae. The record is from RNAcentral. RNAcentral also lists the same sequence under 2 other names.
AACGCACAUUGCGCCUUUUGGUAUUCCGAGAGGCACGCCUGUCUGAGCGUCAGUAAAACCUUCGGCUUUGUAAAUUUUAUUUACCUCGCCGGCGUUGGCGGCGGGGGGGUUUACUCCUCCCUUCGCCUAAACACUGUCAGCGGGGUUAAAUUCAGAAACCAAACGAUUAGUAGAAAUAUUUAUCGGAUCUGGUGCCUAUGAAUUUCCGCUAUAUAAAAACGAGUCCCUUAAAAGACUCAACACUUUUUGACCUCAGAUCAGACGAGGAUACCCGCUGAACUUAA